AGAUUAAACUGAAGAGUUUGAUCCUGGCUCAGAUUGAACGCUGGCGGCAUGCUUUACACAUGCAAGUCGAACGGUAACAGGGAGCUUGCUCCGCUGACGAGUGGCGAACGGGUGAGUAAUAUAUCGGAACGUGCCCAAGAGUGGGGGAUAACGUAGCGAAAGUUACGCUAAUACCGCAUACGAUCUAUGGAUGAAAGUGGGGGAUCGCAAGACCUCAUGCUCCUGGAGCGGCCGAUAUCUGAUUAGCUAGUUGGUGAGGUAAAGGCUCACCAAGGCGACGAUCAGUAGCUGGUCUGAGAGGACGACCAGCCACACUGGAACUGAGACACGGUCCAGACUCCUACGGGAGGCAGCAGUGGGGAAUUUUGGACAAUGGGGGCAACCCUGAUCCAGCAAUGCCGCGUGAGUGAAGAAGGCCUUCGGGUUGUAAAGCUCUUUUGUCAGGGAAGAAAAGGGUACGGCUAAUAUCCGUGCCUCAUGACGGUACCUGAAGAAUAAGCACCGGCUAACUACGUGCCAGCAGCCGCGGUAAUACGUAGGGUGCAAGCGUUAAUCGGAAUUACUGGGCGUAAAGCGUGCGCAGGCGGUUUUGUAAGUCUGUUGUGAAAUCCCCGGGCUUAACCUGGGAAUGGCAAUGGAGACUGCAAGGCUAGAGUUUGGCAGAGGGGGGUAGAAUUCCACGUGUAGCAGUGAAAUGCGUAGAGAUGUGGAGGAACACCGAUGGCGAAGGCAGCCCCCUGGGUCAAGACUGACGCUCAUGCACGAAAGCGUGGGGAGCAAACAGGAUUAGAUACCCUGGUAGUCCACGCCCUAAACGAUGUCUACUAGUUGUUGGGUCUUAAUUGACUUAGUAACGCAGCUAACGCGUGAAGUAGACCGCCUGGGGAGUACGGUCGCAAGAUUAAAACUCAAAGGAAUUGACGGGGACCCGCACAAGCGGUGGAUGAUGUGGAUUAAUUCGAUGCAACGCGAAAAACCUUACCUACCCUUGACAUGUACGGAAUCCCGGAGAGAUUUGGGAGUGCUCGAAAGAGAACCGUAACACAGGUGCUGCAUGGCUGUCGUCAGCUCGUGUCGUGAGAUGUUGGGUUAAGUCCCGCAACGAGCGCAACCCUUGUCAUUAGUUGCUACGAAAGAGCACUCUAAUGAGACUGCCGGUGACAAACCGGAGGAAGGUGGGGAUGACGUCAAGUCCUCAUGGCCCUUAUGGGUAGGGCUUCACACGUCAUACAAUGGUACAUACAGAGGGCCGCCAACCCGCGAGGGGGAGCUAAUCCCAGAAAGUGUAUCGUAGUCCGGAUUGUAGUCUGCAACUCGACUGCAUGAAGUUGGAAUCGCUAGUAAUCGCGGAUCAGCAUGUCGCGGUGAAUACGUUCCCGGGUCUUGUACACACCGCCCGUCACACCAUGGGAGCGGGUUUUACCAGAAGUAGGUAGCUUAACCGCAAGGAGGGCGCUUACCACGGUAGGAUUCGUGACUGGGGUGAAGUCGUAACAAGGUAGCCGUAUCGGAAGGUGCGGCUGGAUCACCUCCUUUCUA
RNAcentral lists this ribosomal RNA (1539 nucleotides) under Pseudoduganella dura. Its description in RNAcentral is "bacterial SSU rRNA". It matches the Rfam family "Bacterial small subunit ribosomal RNA". Lineage: Bacteria; Pseudomonadati; Pseudomonadota; Betaproteobacteria; Burkholderiales; Oxalobacteraceae. The record is from RNAcentral.